Molecule: ribosomal RNA, 467 nt
Filed under: uncultured bacterium
Lineage: Bacteria
Description: partial 16S ribosomal RNA
Rfam family: Bacterial small subunit ribosomal RNA
Source: RNAcentral
GACGAACGCUGGCGGCGUGCUUAACACAUGCAAGUCGAACGGAAAGGCCCUGCUUUUGUGGGGUGCUCGAGUGGCGAACGGGUGAGUAACACGUGAGUAACCUGCCCUUGACCUUGGGAUAACUUCAGGAAACUGGGGCUAAUACCGGAUAGGAGCUCCUGCUGCAUGGUGGGGGUUGGAAAGUUUCGGCGGUUGGGGAUGGACUCGCGGCUUAUCAGCUUGUUGGUGGGGUAGUGGCUUACCAAGGCUUUGACGGGUAGCCGGCCUGAGAGGGUGCCCGGCAACAUGGGGAAGGGGAAAGGGCCCAAACCCCUCGGGGAGGCAGCGGGGGGGAAUAUUGCAAAAGGGGGGGAAGCCUGAGGCAGCAACGCCGCGGGGGGGAGGACGGCCUUGGGGUUGAAAACCGCUUUCGCCUGUGACGAAGCGGGGGGGACGGUAAUGGGUAAAGGAGCACCGGCUAACUACGU